Molecule: long non-coding RNA, 1074 nt
Organism: Canis lupus familiaris (dog)
Lineage: Eukaryota; Metazoa; Chordata; Mammalia; Carnivora; Canidae
Exons: 3
Source: RefSeq, a predicted model, not a curated record
CUUGAUACUUAGUAACACGAAGGCAUCCCUUGGAUGGAGGGGAGUUCUGCAAAGGAAGAAAGGUCCUUGCACUGACCAAACGGGAAAGGACCUAGGGGACAUUCUGCCAAAGGUUCUCCCUCUUGAACUGACUAUAUAUAGGUUCACUUGCUCCUCAUAAGCUCAAUUCUCUCUCCCACUCCCAGUGGAACAGAGGAGGGGAAGGACAGUUGGUCUUCAAGAGAAGCUUGCCUGCUGUGAUAGCUGAGGAAUGGCGGCUGCUGGGAUCCAGUUGGGAUGCAUUUCAGAGACACCAGUGGCACUGUGGAGACAUCAGCCCCACUCUGGGGUGAAGAAGGAAUGACGAGAGACAGGGCAUCCCACAAGGACUGUCCUGUUCAGGAAAGUUGAUGGCAGCAGGAAUCAGGAAUCUGCUCUUCUCAGAGGUUCUUUGCAUCAGCUGUUUACUCAAGAAAUAAUUGUUGAGCAGCUACGUCUGAGCAAGACACUGUGCUAGACCCCAAACAGUGAAAUGUUGAAUUAACCAGUGCCCUGGUCUUCAAGGAGCUUAGAAGUGCUAGCUCUGGAAGUCGUCACCACCACCGCCUCCCUGCCCACGCACUUCGACACACAAACCACCCAGAGGGAGAGAAGGGGGCGUUGGCAAAUGCCAGCAAGACAUAGUUUUACUUGGAUCCUUUUCUGGAAAAUACACAGUUCUCUUUCUGUGCUCAUUUCACCCGCUCGCUCCUUCCCCGCCCCCCUUUCCACCUCUCCUCUCCGGGUCCUCUUCUGCCCUUUCCCCCAGGCUCCGAGACCUGAUUCCCGCCCCACCUACAUCUCCCUCCUCUCCCCACCCCCAACCUGCCCAACCGUUUCUAAGCUAUUUUCUCGUCCCUGGAUUCUUUCCCUGGCUCCCCACACUCAGUCUCCCCAGAUGCCGGCUCCCCUCUCCUCCCCCUGCUCCCCUCUCCUGGGUCUUCGCUUCCAGCACCGGGGACAGCUCCAGCCCCCGGAACAAUGGACCCCACCUUAGGGCUCCUCUAUAAAUUCUCCAUCUUAGUGUGUUGCCCAACUCGUGAUUGGGGAGUACGA